Sinocyclocheilus grahami is the source of this 1333-nucleotide long non-coding RNA. RefSeq lists it as uncharacterized. The record is from RefSeq and is a predicted model, not a curated record. The transcript has 3 exons. Lineage: Eukaryota; Metazoa; Chordata; Actinopteri; Cypriniformes; Cyprinidae.
CAUCAGUAGGCGGCAGGGAUGCGCCUUCGAGGGAGGAAAGAGGAAGCAGGCAUUUUUCCGGGAAAAGAAAUGGAUUAGUUUCGUAAACCUGCGGUUUAUUAGUGAAGGAUAGAGCUGGCAUCCUUUGUAAGACCAUUUCUGACAUAAAAAUGCUCACCUUAAACUUCAUUUAAUAAUCCCCAAGCGGAGACGCCUGAAUUCAGCGUUUUGACUCUUUCCAUGUUGCACCUCACCUCAGGACUGGCCGUCCAGUUUCCUAGUUGUUGUAACCCGUUGUUUGCGAAGAACAUUUUUCUCACGAAUACGAAUUUAAACACUCUUGGGUGGUUCUUCGGCGUGUUGUAAUCGUAGUUAAAGGCACUUUUUAAAAUGGGUCGGUGUUUAUAUUUUACCACACUUAUACUUUCAGUUUCAUAUCAGUUGAUACCGUUGUGUCACUCUUUCGAAUGGGACGAGCAGUCUAGUCCACUCCAAAAUGCGCGGUCCAUUUUCACAAGUUUGAGUAGACCUGUCUCUCAAGUUUCUACAAAGUGGUGUAAAAUGGCUGUCAGAUGCCGUAGCAUCCGCCCUUAACAUGGUCAUCCGGUAUGUUACGGAAAUCUUGGAAUCAGCAGGAAUUGACGUCAAGCUACCUUUCCAAGAAGUUACUCUGGAGGGAGUGAUUUUUGUCGCUCAGUGGGCCCUUCUGUUUGUUGUGGCCUACUGGAUAAUAGCCUUCAUCCGGCGUUUGGUUGUUGGAGCUGUAAGGCAGGUUCUGUGGCUGCUAAAGGUCACCUUUGCCAUGGGCAUGUUUGGAUUGAUUCUCAGCGACGCUGGAGCCUCUGCAGAAGCCACAGCUAUAAGACUAGCGGGCCUGGCGUGUGUUUGUGUCCUGUUAGGAAUAGGUACAUCUGCAAAGCCAGAUACACACCUUGAGGACAAAAUCAAGAUGUUGGAGAGACGACUAAGAGAGAUGGAGAAAAGCAAAAUGGAAUGAUGGGGAAAUCCUCAUCAGACUCGAAAUAUUUAGUUUUCUUUUCUCUUUGCUACAGUUUUAAAUCCAUGGAACCCAGCAUGCUAUUGUGACUUGAAACUCUGCAAAGAAACCACGUUGUUUGUCUAAACUGGGAGGGUGCUUCAAUAUUCCAAGUGUUAGUUAAAAGAUUCCUAAUUAAGUCAAAUUUAUCUUAGGGUCCCAUAGCACAACUGGUAGAUCUGGCAUCUGAGGGGUUUAAUUGUUAACAAAAGGACUGAAUCAAAUGUCCAAACACCGUUUCUGGGGUCUUGAGGUACAGAGAACAGCAAAAUGUAUUAACACUGCAUUUAAAUAAUCAUGUUUUUGUUGCUUAUUACA